AAAUUUAAGCCACGCUCUUUCCCAACACAGGAAAUAAUAUGCUCCAGAGAAUCCUCUAAUUCACCGAAAAUGGACUUGGAUAACAUUUGGGUUCUCAUACUACCACAGUCCUCUUGAGAAGGACAGCCAGGAGGAUAAUAAUGAAGGGGCCAGGGAAGGAGGCCAAUGCUACAGGGUUAUCUCCUAACCUCAGAUGUUGGAUAAGUCCAGGGAAACAGCAGCGCUUCUGGAUGGCUUCAGAAAGGCUGGAGUGAUUGUUUGGACGAGAAAAACCCGCCUAUUCAUUCAAAGGUACAUGAAUGUUGUCGACACUGUCCCAUCUAAAGGUUCAUCCUUAGAAUCCUGCCUUAGACAAAGGAAGCGCUUGGAGCCCCACCACACCUAA
This 385-nucleotide long non-coding RNA is filed under the name Mus spicilegus (steppe mouse). Its description in RNAcentral is "lncRNA (ENSMSIG00000004962.1)". The stretch from base 152 to 291 matches the Rfam family "Rhabdomyosarcoma 2 associated transcript conserved region 8". The record is from RNAcentral. Lineage: Eukaryota; Metazoa; Chordata; Mammalia; Rodentia; Muridae.